RNAcentral lists this ribosomal RNA (1022 nucleotides) under uncultured Bacteroides sp. RNAcentral's name for it is "bacterial SSU rRNA". It matches the Rfam family "Bacterial small subunit ribosomal RNA", at positions 137 to 1159 of the family's 1533-position model. The record is from RNAcentral. Lineage: Bacteria; Pseudomonadati; Bacteroidota; Bacteroidia; Bacteroidales; Bacteroidaceae.
UCUUGGCCAGCCUUCUGAAAGGAAGAUUAAUCCAGGAUGGGAUCAUGAGUUCACAUGUCCGCAUGAUUAAAGGUAUUUUCCGGUAGACGAUGGGGAUGCGUUCCAUUAGAUAGUAGGCGGGGUAACGGCCCACCUAGUCAACGAUGGAUAGGGGUUCUGAGAGGAAGGUCCCCCACAUUGGAACUGAGACACGGUCCAAACUCCUACGGGAGGCAGCAGUGAGGAAUAUUGGUCAAUGGGCGAUGGCCUGAACCAGCCAAGUAGCGUGAAGGAUGACUGCCCUAUGGGUUGUAAACUUCUUUUAUAAAGGAAUAAAGUCGGGUAUGCAUACCCGUUUGCAUGUACUUUAUGAAUAAGGAUCGGCUAACUCCGUGCCAGCAGCCGCGGUAAUACGGAGGAUCCGAGCGUUAUCCGGAUUUAUUGGGUUUAAAGGGAGCGUAGAUGGAUGUUUAAGUCAGUUGUGAAAGUUUGCGGCUCAACCGUAAAAUUGCAGUUGAUACUGGAUGUCUUGAGUGCAGUUGAGGCAGGCGGAAUUCGUGGUGUAGCGGUGAAAUGCUUAGAUAUCACGAAGAACUCCGAUUGCGAAGGCAGCCUGCUAAGCUGCAACUGACAUUGAGGCUCGAAAGUGUGGGUAUCAAACAGGAUUAGAUACCCUGGUAGUCCACACGGUAAACGAUGAAUACUCGCUGUUUGCGAUAUACGGCAAGCGGCCAAGCGAAAGCGUUAAGUAUUCCACCUGGGGAGUACGCCGGCAACGGUGAAACUCAAAGGAAUUGACGGGGGCCCGCACAAGCGGAGGAACAUGUGGUUUAAUUCGAUGAUACGCGAGGAACCUUACCCGGGCUUAAAUUGCACUCGAAUGAUCCGGAAACGGUUCAGCUAGCAAUAGCGAGUGUGAAGGUGCUGCAUGGUUGUCGUCAGCUCGUGCCGUGAGGUGUCGGCUUAAGUGCCAUAACGAGCGCAACCCUUGUUGUCAGUUACUAACAGGUGAUGCUGAGGACUCUGACAAGACUGCCAUCGUA